UCGCCCGAAAGGGGCGUGGCCAUCUUUGAAAAAGAUGAUUGACAGGCAGCAACGGUAAAAACGGUCACCAAGGAGGUCAGGCUGCAGCUUCAAUGCCGCAGUCUUUCUUGGCAUGAGAAUAAUAACAACAACAUCACAAAACAGAAUGGAAGGAGGAGACAGCGGAGAGGCUGCCUGGCUUGUUGUUUAACCACCACUUCCUGCCCACUUUGGUCUUCUUUACCAUAGAUGGUAACGUUGAGCGUCAAAAGUGGAAAUAAACAAGAGCAAGGCUGGCCUGGAGCCCUUCAAUCUAUCUGCAGAGAGGGAUUGCUCUAUUUUAGUUGCUCUUGUUUCCUUCCUGGGACGAUCCGAAGGUUAUCUGUGGCUCUUUUAUCUUAGGCACAAAGCUGGGCUGGUUAAAUCCCCUUUGCGGCACCCAAUAACCUGAUUUCAGAGACCCAAUAAAACUAGUCAUCUCUUAUAACUUUGGCCACCAUUCCUCCAUUGUGUGCCUUUUAUGUCACUUUCCUUUUGUGAUCCACUUAAGAAACAAACAGCAGCUAAUCUUAUCCCAUUGGCCUACAAAAAACAAACAAAUGGUUUGACAACGGGAGAGCUUUUAGGGUGUAUCUACACUGUCAAAUUAAUGCAGUUUGACUCCAAUUUCAUUCAAUGCAGUGGAAUCAUAGAGGCUGAAGUUUGACCAGAUUUUUUUGCCUUCUUUGCCAAAGAGUACUGGUGACUCACCAAACUAAAACCAUCUUGUUUCCAUAGCUUUGAGCUAUGGCUGAAGUUUAAAAAUCUAAGGACUGCAGAUACUGAAAGUUUGUGUCUGGUGAGCCCAGCUAACCGCCAAUAUUCCCAGAUGAAUUAAUAAUAAUAAUAAUAAUA
Long non-coding RNA from Anolis carolinensis (green anole), 873 nucleotides. RefSeq lists it as uncharacterized. Lineage: Eukaryota; Metazoa; Chordata; Lepidosauria; Squamata; Anolidae. The record is from RefSeq and is a predicted model, not a curated record. The transcript is spliced from 3 exons.